RNAcentral lists this long non-coding RNA (552 nucleotides) under Anas zonorhyncha (Eastern spot-billed duck). RNAcentral's name for it is "lncRNA (ENSAZOG00000002916.1)". Lineage: Eukaryota; Metazoa; Chordata; Aves; Anseriformes; Anatidae. The record is from RNAcentral.
AAAAAUGUGAACUGAAUUUGCCUCUGCUCUGCUUUUAGAGGCACAAGGGUAUGCUUUCACAUGAGUAGACAUGCUAUCUAUGCCACGCAAGCUAUGUUAGUUUGAAUUGACUCAGACUACAUGAAUCCAAACUAGUGUGCUGCAUUCAACGCCUCUGAGAUUUAUUUGGAGUAAAAGAUCUGUGUCAGUCUAUGCACCAGAGCUCUUUUUCUUUCUCUUCCUUCACUCUUCAUGCACAUUUCAAGCUCUAUGGAAAAAUCUUAUGACAAAGCCUUCACAUAUGAAACUAUGAAGAUGAGGAUUGCCUGUUAAAUCUGUCUCAGUUUGGUAGUUUCCAAAAAGAUAAGAAGAAAGGAAGAGUGAGCAGGAAGAAAAGCAGUAAUAGGGAACUCAAAAGACUGAAGAAAGCAAAUGGAAGAAUAUGAGGUGAGGCCUGAAACUAACAGAGAAAAAAAAAAAAAAAAAAAAAAAGCCAUGUAGAGUUGUCUUCUGUUUUAAUAAUAUUAGCAUAGCCAUAUUUAAUAGGGUUAAAUAGGCCUAACAUUAUUUCAC